CGAGUUGGAAUUUCCUAUUUUCUCCCAGAGGUGAACAUAAAUCGAAAACAUCGAUUCGCCAUGCUAUUUUGGACAAAAUAAACAAAGUGACAGUUCGAAUGAGAGAAGGUAUAUUUUCUCCCCACGGGAGAGAAAGUGUUGCACUUUUUUCACUAGAAAUGUCAUUCGAGAAGUCUACAAUAGUAGCAAGUAAUCUGAU
Long non-coding RNA from Bradysia coprophila, 199 nucleotides. NCBI's taxonomy places the organism in Eukaryota, Metazoa, Arthropoda, Insecta, Diptera, Sciaridae. The record is from RefSeq and is a predicted model, not a curated record.